CUUGCAAAGCUGUGCCCUCGAAAGGAGAGUAAUGUAUCACUGUUUGAAGCCAGGGGAACAAUUGGCUACGUUGCUCCAGAAGUUCUUAGUAGAAGCUUUGGAGAAGUUUCACACAAGUCCGAUGUGUAUAGCUAUGGAAUGAUGAUAUUGGAAAUGGUUGGAUGCAAAAAUAACCCUGAUGCUGGAGUGGAUGAAACAAGCGACAUAUACUUUCCGCAUUGGAUAUACAAACACGUUGAGCAGGGCAAGGUGUUUAAAUUGCCUUGUGUUAUGAGCAGCAACGAAAAUGAAAUUGAAAUUGCCAAGAAGAUGGUUAUUGUGGGCUUAUGGUGUAUACAGACUCAUCCAUCGUAUAGACCGGCUAUGAAUAAGGUUAUAGACAUGUUACAAGGAAGCAUUGAAGCCUUGCAAAUCCCGCCAAAGCCUUUCCUCUCUCCUCCAAGAUUAUCUUCAAUGGAUUCUUCCUUCACAUCCAUGGCUUAGUAAUAGUUAGUCAUUAAAUUAAACUAUACGCCAGCUUCCUUUUUUGUGGUUCAUGUAUUCUAUUAGUUUGUAAAAAUUAUAUAAUCAAAUAGUCAACAGAGGAUAUUUCAUAUAUGUGGUUCAUGUAAUAAGGGGGCAUAUUGAAGAAAUCGUGUUUCUCGUUUAGAUGUUCUCCAUCCUGAUAAAAUUCACGAAAAUAAGCCUCGUUGCUCUCGUUGCACUUCUAGAAAAUAACAUGAUGGGCCUCUGCUGAUAUCAGGCCAAAGCCCACUACAGAAAUCAAAGCACAAAGGCCCAACAUUUUCCAUUUCACCCCAAUAGAAAAAAAAGUUUAAGACAAGUUAAUCAUGCCUAGUUGAUGAAGAAAAACAGUGAGCUGGAUAUAUGAAGACAGAUUGAUUUCUGCAUACAUAGUACGCAUUACAACGAAGGCUCUAUGACGUUCGGAUUAAGGGCAAGAUGAUCCACGGUUAGAUUGAGAGCAUAGGUUACUUGGAGAGCACAAAUUAAGGUACUUAAUAAAUUCCUAUCGUAAAAAAAUUCAUUAAACAAUGAACUUUUACAAACAAAAGCAUGGUCUCUACACUUAAAAAACUUUAACUCCACUAUCACUUAAGAGAAAAUUUUGUAACUAUAAACUGUGAGGAAAAGAGUUCAAAAGGGUUUAAAAAUCCUUUUAACCACCCGUAAAAUAUCUUUAAUGACAAUCUAUUAAUUUAAUUUAAAAAAUUCAAGUGGAAUUUAAAUAUGAGGUUUUUUUUUUUUUUGGAAAAGAUCCAAAUAUGAGGUUGAACAAGUUAAAUUAAGGGAUCUUUAUUUCUUGACUUCUAAGUUAAUUAGAAAGUUGACUAUCUUGUAUUGUCUAAGUUUAGGAAUGGUAAAUGCCGGCCUAUUUUUUAUCGGGCUCGGCUUGGUCAGGCUUGGAUCAUUUUUUUUUUUCUUUAAAGUUGGGUCAAAAAACCCGAAUUUCAUGUCUUAUAUUUUUUUUUAAAAAUAUAUUAUCUUUUACAAAUUUAUAGUUUAAAAAUUAUUUUAUUAGAUUAGGUUUUAAAAGUUGGGUUUAAACAAUUUAAAACUUUAAAUAUAUGUUGUACAUGGGUUAAAUGAAUGUUAAAAAAGUUUAUUUUGAUUAAAAUAAAAAACUUUGUUUUAAAUUUUUUAAUUUACUUUUAAACCCAGCCUAAGUGCAAUUUUCUACCAACUGCAGAAUGCUUUUUUAUUAUCAUUUUUUUAAGACCCCGAUAACAUUGGACAUUAGUUAAUUAACUCAUAUUUCUUUCGAUGCCACUCUUAAUGUAUAAUGUAUGCUUAACUCAUAUUUCUCUAAAUGCCACUCUCAAUGUAGAAUGUAUGCUGAGAGACUUAGGUGGCAUUUGUUUUUUUUAUCUGAAAUCUGAAAUCUGAAUAGACCUGAAUUAAUCUGAAUUCUGAAUAGAUCUGAAAGUCUGAAUAUGAAUAAUAUGUUUAUUUUUUCGUCUGAAUCUCAGAAAAUAAGUAUUAAAUUGUUUUUUCAACUUAAAAAGCUGAAAAUAUGUAAUUUUACAUUUGUAUCCUGAUUAAAUUUGAAUGUCAAAUAAAUAAUACAUUAAAUACCACAAUAUUUUUACAUUUAUAAGUAAAACUAUAUUCAAGUGAAUACAUAAUUAUUUUAGAAUUUUAAUAUAUAAAAUAUCAUAAUUUUCAAAUUUUAUCGUAUAUAAUAUAAGAAAGAAAAAACAUAGAUAUUUUUAUGUGGGGUAAAUGUCUAUGUGUGAGUUUUGGGAUAGAAAUGAAAAAUAAAUUAUAAAGCAGAGAUAUUUUUGACAUUAGUAAGUAAUUAACUUAAUUCAGAUUUUUCUAUUAAGUAAAAAGUCAAAAAAUUAGCUUAUUUUAUUAAGUCAAAAUUAUCUAAAAAGUUUCAUUAAGUUAUAAAAACUAAACACCUCUAAUUAACUUAAUUAAUUAAGUUAAGUCACUUUAAGUCAUUAAGUUAAAAAACAAACGCUACCUUAAUCAAAUUUUAAUUAUUACCAAAAUUAGACGCUUUGUUUUCUUACUUUUCUGAAUUUAUUUUGAUAAAUAUACUUCCAAAAUAUUGAUUCAGUGACAAGCCCUAGAGUUUGUGGGCUCUGGGCCUCGGGCCUAUUCCUUACUUAAUAUUUGCUCCAAAUCCCAAGAAAGGAUGAAUCCAUCAUUUCAAAACCACCGCAAUCAAUUGAUUACAUCAUCACUUGCGUAUUAAAACUAAAUUGAUGAAUUGUCAGAGUUUAUCAGCCAUUCAAACAAGACUUCACAGAUCCAAAUACUAGGAAGCAAGCAAAGGAUUUCAAGUCAACUCUUGUAUUUGGGCAAAUUCUCUCAGUUAAUUACUUCAAACUGGACCUCGUUUACUUCCAAUUUCCAUACCUUAAGUCAACAACUGAAAAGAGUUGGCUUAUUUUAGUAAAUUAAUGGUGGCACUAUCCUUUAGCAGCUAAUCUGUCUUUGAAAGUUUCCUGCUGAAUAAUCUCGUGUUAAUCAAUUUGUGGAUCAUGAGUUCCUCUAUUUUCAGAAUCUCUCUUUUCAUCCUUAUGUUCAGCCAGCUUCGAUUCCCACUAGUUUUCUCAGGAUAUGUUAAUGUCUCUGAGGAGGCAUAUUCCAAGUGUUCUGCUUCUUUCAGCUGCGGAAUUUUCACCGGUAUUGGCUAUCCUUUUUGGAGAAACGAUCAGCCUGAUUAUUGUGGUCAUCCAGGCUUCAAGCUUGAUUGCCAGGGAGAAAGAGCCACCAUUGAUAUCAAUUUCCAGAAGUAUGAUAUCAACGAAAUCUAUCAUGAAUCUCAAGUCCUGAGGAUUGCAAAAACAGAUUUCAUGUUGAACAUUUGUCUUGUAAGCUUUAUCAACAGUACUUUGGAUUUCAAUCUCUUCGAGUAUACACUCAGCGACCAAAACGCCAGCUUGCUUUACGACUGCGAUCAUCUGACUGAAGAGCAACCACGGAAACAGGAGUUUACAUGUCCAAUAGACAACAGGCCCAGUGAAUGUUACUUCACCGCGCCGGCAAUUUCAAGUGAUGAACUUUCAAGGAGAUGCAAAAUCAGUCUCCUGAUACCAGUCCUGGAGAUUUUUGCUGAUCAUUUUACAAAUUAUUUAAUGACUAUUGAUCAAGUUAUAAAAGAAGGUUUUGAGGUUAGGUGGAUUAUAGACCAAGAGCAAUGCAGGGAUUGCCUUAUUUCAGGAGGGAAAUGUGGAUAUAACAGGACUAUUAAUGAUUUUACUUGCUUUUGCCCGUAUCAACCUUCGCCAAGGACAUGCUUCAGGAUGCAGCCACCAGCAAACAGUGCCGCCGCUAAUCCUAGUACAGCUCCAGGUAUGCACACACGAUACUUCUUUAUUUAUUGAUUUAUUUUUAACCGAUACAAAGGGAUAUAUAUACUAUUUUAAUUUUUUCUAGUUUUUAAGUAGCUACCGAGCUAGUUAUGAGAGAUAAGAUUGAUGAGAUGAACCAGCACCCUUACCUCCCAAUAUUAUAACAAAUAAUUAAUAAUUAAGACUUCUUUUUAAAAAAAAUAAAAUUAUACAACAGUCAGAAUCCAGUAAAAUUAAAGUGUACAAACAACCCAAUAUAUUAAAGUAUACUAUAACUGAAGCCUAGUAUAAUAAUAAACUCCCACAAUAAUCCUUCACCUUAGAGUUUAGAGGAGGCACUAUAGACUAAUAAAGGAGUUAUUGGUAAUUAAAAAUUAGGACCAGAUAUAUGAGAAUUAAAAUCCUCUACGUACGAAUCUACACUCUGAAGUUUAAUAAGCUUGUGCUAUGCCGCUAUUCAUAUGGUUUAGGGGACAUUACUUUUGGGUACAUCAGUCCUCAGCCAAAGCCCAUUUGUUUAGGUGAUAUGGAAAAGCAAUAGAAUACGAAGAGUUAUAUUAUUCUUCCAAUUGCUUUUUGAUUCAACUAAAGAAUUAAAAGCUUCAAUCGAUUCUGCAAUUUCGAUGUAGCUGCGAAUGGGUCCAAAGCUUGUUGACAGGAGGAUCGGUUAGGCCAACUUUUGUUAAAAAAUUUAGCCCGAUUUGCAAUCCAAGAUCCAACCCAUAUAUUUACGAGUUUAUCGGCAAACCGUCUCUAAAAGUCAAGAGUCAACCGCCAUUGGAUUUCAGUCUGGCUCUCUCGUGGAAAAUUCUAAUGGGGUUCUUCACCUUUAAUUAAUUUAUUUGUCAUGGGAACUAGCUAGUCUAUACGUUAUAAAAUUUUCUACAAAUUGCUUUCGCAGCUGCUUUUCAAAUUAUAAAAAAAUUGAUUUCUUCAUUGAAAUGUUGCACUAGGCAAUUACCUCUUCAUACAAGCAAACAAAACCCAUAUAAUCUUACCAAGUCUUCGUUUCUUCCAAAGAGAUUAUAGUUGUACAUAACCAUGAGUCAUCUCUUCCCUCCGCCAAUUCUCAACUCUAUCCUCACCUUCAUGAUCUGCAUCUUGAUUGCCGUUCCUGCAUCUCAUGGCGAUGGCGAUGGCGAUGUUGACGAACAGUACAUGUCAUGCAACAGCUCCCACUCGUGUGGGACCUUACAGGAUAUCCGGUAUCCAUUCUGGGUACACAAUAUUAGGCCUCAGUUUUGUGGUCUCCGACGUUUCGAGCUCCAAUGUCAUGAUAAUGAGUAUGCUACCAUAGGAAUCGGACAUCAAAGUUUUCGAGUUUUAGAGAUUAACAAUACACAUCCAAUCAUGAGAAUUGUUAUAGCUGAUUAUGUGGGUAGAGAUUGUCUUGAAUCAAUUCGGAAAUCCAGUAUCAGCGACCCUCUAUUUAAUUACACUGAGAAGGUUCGAAACCUCAGUUUAUUCUAUGAUUGCUCCGGUGAUUUCUCCUCACAGCUGGGCAACAAUAAGUAUAAAUGUACCUCAGAAGGUGGAGUAGUUAUAAGAAGCUUUUACACGGUCGACAACAAUGAUGACUCGCGGCUUCACAAUCUUAGCAAUUCAUGUUCCAGUGUUGUCAAAGUCCCCAUACAACUGACACGUCCCAAUAUUCUUUAUCUUACGGAAGGUAGAUUGAUCGAGGCUCUGAAUCAAGGGUUCGAAGUGAGAUAUGAUGCGGAAGAUAAGCUCUGUUCGACAUGUACUUCUCAUCAUCCUCGAGGGAUAUGCGGAUCUAAUCAGUCUUCAGAUGAAUUUUCGUGCUUUUAUCCUCCUGGUAUGCAUCUACGCCCUUCAUUUUCACACAGUUUAUAAAAAAUUGGGUUUAAAAAUGAUACCAAACAACUUCCUACUGGAUAUUAAACUGUGUUUAAGUUUAAAUUUCACAAUAUUAGACUAUCUAAUUUAAGUGGAAACGGUGUUAAAAAAAAAAUUAAGUGGAAACGAGGAAGGGUUAUUCAGUAAUUUGGUGGAUUCUAAAUUCUAAGAAACUUUUAGAAUAUAUCCAAAAUACAUAUAUAUAGACACGGUUAUAUUUUCUCUUUAAUUUAACAGCUGUCCUAUUGGUCGAAUUAUACAACAGUUUCUUGUUCAUUGUAAUUACUUUUCUGGGUCUUUGUUUAUUUAUUAAAUGAGAAAAAGUCACAUCUAAUGACUGGUCAAUGGUCAUGAUCAUCGUAACGUAUGUAGUUGAGUGGGCUUUAAUUUAAUUGGGUGUCUGGUGCGAUUUAGUUUAUUUCCACGUCAGCGUCUUUGAACAUGUCAACCGUCUAGUUUGCCUUCGCCGGUAGGCCCCUCCCCCUCCGUAGCCAAUGUGGUUUUUGUUUCGUGUCCAUUUAAAUUCUGUCAACAUUUAGAUAUUUUGCUCUACAGUUUAGAAAAACCUGCUCUUAUUCUGUGUGUGAGUGUGUGUAUUUCCAAAUUCAAGUUUUCCAAAACGGGGUUUUAGAGAAAGGAAUGAAAAAUCUUCUACAGCUGUUUAGUUUGACCACAAUUUGGGCCCAAUACUGAUCACUCCAUGCUGAUUAUUCAACCUCAGCUCAAAUUGAAAUUCUUGCUAUUUUUGGGUUUAAUGGUUAAUGGUUAUGAUUCUUUUUCGGAUUUUUUCCUCUCUUCGUUUCGCGUACGUAAUAAAUUUGUGAUUGUUUAGGGUUGAGUCUAGAAUUUGGAAAUAUAAAAUUUAAGAGAUUGACCAAUUAGGUGAAGAGUUUUGUUAUUUUUGUAAGUCAAUUACUCUUUUCUUUAUUAGCCUAUAUAGAGCGUGACUUAUGUCAAGAUUUAAUUAGACAAUUGUAGGCUCUAUUGCAGAAUUCCUCAAUAGAAACUUGACACCUUUGCAAUCGCGCACUUAAGCAUCAUUGUUAAUUUACAAGAUAUGAUUUAAUGAUUUUCUCUUACGAGGAAAAAAAAAAACACUAUAAGUCUCUGUCCUUUCUAAUAUCAUUUAUUGUAAAUUAAACAUAAAAUUUUCUAAGUAUCUAAUCCAAAACAUACGUAAUAACAGAAAUGAUAAUGAAGACGUACCUUAAUCUUAGAUCUUUGAGAUCUGGGCAAUAGGGAUGGCAAUGAGGAGGGGAGGGGAGGGGACCAAUCUCUCUAUACCCAUCCCCGAUAUUUUGCGUAUGUCACCGUCUCCUCCCCGUCCCCGUCAGAAUUGUUUGAGAGAAUCCACAUCCCCUCCCCGAAUAAUAACAGGGGAUCCCCGAGGGUCCCCGGUCCCCGAAUAAUUAAUAGUCUAAUACAUUUUUUUAUUUUUGAUUUUAAAUUAAUCAUAUUAAAAUAAAAAAUUCAGAUAAAAAUAAAGUUUAAAAUAUAUCUUACAUUAAUAUUGAUCCAUUACAAAGUCACAUUCAAAAUAUAAAUUAUUAAAAUAAUUAUCUUUGUCAAUGUCUCAAUCUUCAUAAUCCUACAAUAACAAGAAAAAAAAAUUAUUUUUUAUAUCGGCAAUAAAAUAAAUGAAAUGAAUGUAGAUACUUAAUUAAUAUUUUUAAUAAAACUAUUUACCUCAUGCUCGUCCUGCUCGUCCUGUUCUUCCUCGAGAAAUGUGGCAAAUUGAGAGAUAGCCUCAGAUUUCAAACCUGAAACAAUGAAAAUGAUAUAAGUAACGUAACUUAUAAGUGCAAAUAUUAAUAAUUGUAUAAUAUAAUUACGAUAUAAAAUAAACUCAUACUGCUAUUGUAAGCUCGUAACUAUAACUUUCUCAUCCAAAUAUGAAUCUAAUUCAUCUGCAACAACUGCACAAUCUCCAUUGUUUACAUAAUCAUCAAAACUUGUCAUCCAUUUGGUUGCUUUCUUAUAAGAAUCUCAUGUAGAUCUAGUAGAAGAACUACUACCAGUAUAAUCAAAGCAAUAAACAGUUGGUGAAAACUUCAAUUGAUACUCUUCCACUAAUUUCCGGCAAAGGGUGACCACUUUCCCAACAUACAACUCUUUAACACCACCAUAAACCAUAGAAAAGUAAUAUUCAAUGAACUUCUUUUUAUACCUUGGAUCAAAGAUACAUGCCACACCCAAAAUUCCACUCAUAUCUUGUCAAUAUUUAUAAUUUUUUUAUUUAUUUAUUAGUAAUUUUAAAAAUAAAAAAAAAAAUAAAAUUAAAAAUUAAAAUGGGGAAAUGGGUAGGGGAUGGGGAUUCCACCUCAUCCCCGUCCCCUCCCCGAAUAAAAAAUUGGGUAAAAAAUUUUCCCCAUCCCCUCUCCGAAUAAAAAAUUAAGUAUAAAAUUAUUACCGUAUCCUCCCCGAAUGAGAAAAAUCCCCGAAAAUAUCCGUCCCUGUGGGGAUUUUUGCCAUCCCUACUGGGCAACAACAUUAAACCUAUAAAUCAUUUUCAUCCUCCCUCUAAGAGUCAAGCCAACCACAACAGUUACUCUCUUUUUGUCCACACGUUUUCAUUCAGCCAACCAAAACUCAACAAGUCGCGGAGUGAAUCAGAAUCAUUAAUAUUUUGACAACAAAAAUGGCCCCACCUGCUUACUCACAGCACAGGACUUCAAUCGUUAUCCUCAUCAUUUCAUUUAUUGUCUUUAGCUCUAUGUAGGAUUAGAUGACGCAUCUCUAAAGAAUAGCUCAUAUAACCUUGUUUGCUUCUGGUAGUGGAAAUGAGAUGCUAAGAGUUUGAAUCUCUCUUAAAAAAACAUUCAAAGAGUUAAAAAAAAAAAAAAAAAAAGACUAGGACUAGGAGAUUUUCUCUUGGAUAGAAUUUUCUAACAUCCAUAAGAAUUUUUAAAAUAUUUAAUGAAUUAUUGAAACAGCUUAAUAGCCCACAAGCUGAUCUCGCCCAUAAGCUGGCAUCUUUGCUUUCUUUUGGAUCUUUGUUUCCCACUUGGUCUCUUUUCCACUUUCAAACUCACAUCACACAAUUGAAUUGACAAUAAAAUAUACAAGCUAAACAACUAAUAAACUCAAAAGCCUCCGCUGCCAACCACUACCAACCACAUUAGAAUUUUCUUCCAUUAUGCUUCUCUCCAUUUGCUUCCGCUUCUUCUCUUCUUCCCUUCAUUUUCCAAAUCCAUAUGGAUCUCCAAAACAUCUUCAUACUCAAAAUAACUCUUCUUCGAUGUAUCAUCAUCAUCAUCACUUUUGCCAGCCACACCCUUUCUCUUGACCCCAAAUUCAAGGCUUGUGCCCCAAGAACAUGCGGCAACGACCUCAUAAUAAGCUACCCUUUUUGGAUUUCUGAAGAACAAGAACCUGCUGUACGGCCAAGGCGGAUGUACGGUACAGCAGCCGAUUUUUAUUAUAAUGAUUAAAUUCCCAAAUUCAUAUGAGAAUUUGUGAUUUUUUUUAAAGGUAGAGGGGUAGACAAACCCAAAUCAAUUUUUAUCCACCUACUCUCUUGGUGGCCAACUAAAUAAAACAGUUUGAACACCACUCUGGUCUUCUACUACCCUUAUUCCUUGUAUUAAUUUAAUUCUUUUCAUUGAUUUUGAAUAACUAAUCUGUGUUGACUCCAUUUGAGUCUGUAUAUUUUUUUUCAUUUUCACUCUUUGCAAAAACAGAAAAUGUCCAUGCCAAUUCCCCACGUCUCUUCUAAAGCCAAGAAGACUUUCCAUAGCUUUUUGGUCUCACUCGUGGAAAAAUCAAACAAUGGUGCUAGGUAGACUGUGAGGCAAGUGGUGGACGCUGUGGAUUCAGUAAUAAUGAAUUUGUUUGCUUUUGCCAAGAUAGACCUCAUCUCAAAGCAUGUGAUGAUGGUAACUCUUCAGGGCAUUCGCCUUUUUUUUUUCUUUUUCCUUUUGCUGGAUCUUGUUUCUUCAUUUUUAUUUGCUUUACUAUGGUUAUCAAUAUUACAGCCAAUUCCAGUUCUAUUUUUGCUAUUUUGUAUCAUUUUGUUAUAAUGUUACUAUGAUUCUAAAAUGCUUUGCAUUUGAAAUGUGGAUAGCUUUGAGAAUCUCAUUCAUUCAGUAAAGUUCGAGUUCUAUGAUUGGAAAUUUAGAGAGAACUAAAGGUUUCAGGCUUGGAAGAAGAAAUUCUUUGGCCCCCUCAAGUUUCUUGGCCAAACCAGAAUAGUAUUUUCUGUUUCUCUUGUCUCAUUUUCUAGUUUCGAACUAAAAACUUUCUAUGACUUUUGAGCACUAAACCACUCGGGAAAGGGGUAUUACUUAUGAUUCCUAGCUAUUAAUCAUAUUGUUCAUCAAUGAUGGUGCAAGAAAAUUUGUUCACAGGCUCAUAUUUAAGCUUUCCUUUUGUUCCUUUGCUCAUGAAUGCUCUUACUCUGUUUCAUCUGUUCUAAAAUUAUAUUUGACCUUUUGUUUUAAAUUUUGUACGUAAUCAAAGAAAGCUGGAAGUUUAUUUUGUCAGUCUGCGAAUCUGUCAUCGGGAAACUGAUAUUUGGACCAGCUCAUCUUCUAUCUUGAUGUUAUUGAUAAUUUUAUAUUACUUAAUAUAAGUUGAUCAUAGAUUAGAUUACAGAAUUCUAAUGCAGCUUCUAGUAAAUAUCAGUUCACCAACGCCUGUCAUAGUGCCUGAAUUUUGUGUAAUUCCAACUCAAUUGGAAUUGAGGUUUUGAGUUGAUUUGAAUAUUAAUUUCUGCAUUGACGUAAAUGCAAUUUCUGAAGAGGUUAUUUUACAAUUAUAAUUUUUUUAAUAAUAAUUUGUGCCGUUGUAUUGUUCUAAAUCUUCACUGACACAGGUGGUGGUGCAAACUUGAGACUGAAGGUUGGUAUAGGUAAUACACUAUACGAGUCCUCCAUUUGUUUCAGUAACAUAUACAAACACAUGCAUCAAGAAUUGAUAAUUGCUCUCACUACUGUAAACAGGAGUUGGUGCAGCUUUCGGGGGUAUGGGCAUUAUGGCUGCAAUUUUCUUGAUUUAUCUACAUCGUAAGAAGAACAAACAUUCUGCUUCAACUCUGUUAUUUCGCAACACAUCGUCUGAACCCUCAUCAAAGGUGGAUCUUGAGAAUGGAGGUAUCUAUCAUGGAGUUCAAGUCUUCAGCUAUGGUGAACUCGAAGAGGCCACCAAUUAUUUUGAUUCUGCCAGAGAACUUGGUGAUGGAGGCUUUGGCACUGUAUAUUAUGGUAAGUGUCAAGACCCUAUGUUCCCAACUUUCAUUAAUUAUUUCAAUGAACAAGUUAAAGGAAAACUCCCAUUUUAAUUAAUCAGGUGAACUCCAAGAUGGGCGAGCUGUUGCAGUCAAGCGUUUAUAUGAAAACAAUUACAAAAGAGUUGAACAAUUCAUGAAUGAAGUUGAUAUACUAGCUCGCUUGCGCCACAACAAUCUUGUCUCUCUUUACGGAUGUACUUCCCGUCACAGUCGUGAACUCUUGCUUGUGUAUGAAUUCAUCCCCAAUGGCACAGUUGCUGAUCAUUUACACGGGGAACGUGCCAAGCCUGGUGCCCUACCUUGGCCUACACGUUUGAAGAUCGCCAUUGAGACAGCAAGCGCAUUGACAUAUCUUCAUGCUUCUGAUAUCAUCCACCGUGAUGUGAAGACCAACAACAUUCUUCUUGACAACAACUUCUGUGUUAAAGUUGCAGAUUUUGGACUUUCCCGUCUCUUUCCAAAUCAUGUCACCCAUGUUUCGACUGCUCCACAGGGGACUCCAGGAUAUGUUGAUCCCGAAUACCACCAAUGC
This 11422-nucleotide long non-coding RNA is filed under the name Citrus sinensis (sweet orange). RNAcentral's name for it is "long non-coding RNA (CSIN_LNC002015)". The record is from RNAcentral. Lineage: Eukaryota; Viridiplantae; Streptophyta; Magnoliopsida; Sapindales; Rutaceae.